RNAcentral lists this ribosomal RNA (119 nucleotides) under Bacillus licheniformis. Its description in RNAcentral is "partial 16S ribosomal RNA". It matches the Rfam family "Bacterial small subunit ribosomal RNA", at positions 1 to 116 of the family's 1533-position model. RNAcentral also lists the same sequence under 1 other name. The record is from RNAcentral. Lineage: Bacteria; Bacillati; Bacillota; Bacilli; Caryophanales; Bacillaceae.
UUCAUGGAGAGUUUGAUCCUGGCUCAGGACGAACGCUGGCGGCGUGCCUAAUACAUGCAAGUCGAGCGGACCGACGGGAGCUUGCUCCCUUAGGUCAGCGGCGGACGGGUGAGUAACAC